UACGUAGGUGGCGAGCGUUAUCCGGAUUUACUGGGCGUAAAGGGAGCGUAGGCGGACUUUUAAGUGAGAUGUGAAAUACUCGGGCUCAACUUGAGUGCUGCAUUUCAAACUGGAAGUCUAGAGUGCAGGAGAGGAGAAUGGAAUUCCUAGUGUAGCGGUGAAAUGCGUAGAUAUCGGGAAGAACACCAAUGGCGAAGGCAGGUCUCUGGGCCGUUACUGACGCUGAGGAGCGAAAGCGUGGGGAGCGAACAGG
Molecule: ribosomal RNA, 253 nt
Filed under: uncultured bacterium
Lineage: Bacteria
Description: partial 16S ribosomal RNA
Rfam family: Bacterial small subunit ribosomal RNA
Source: RNAcentral